Molecule: ribosomal RNA, 425 nt
Filed under: uncultured bacterium
Lineage: Bacteria
Description: partial 16S ribosomal RNA
Rfam family: Bacterial small subunit ribosomal RNA
Source: RNAcentral
GUUAGGAAUAUUGGACAAUGGGCGCAAGCCUGAUCCAGCCAUGCCGCGUGAGUGAUGAAGGCCUUCGGGUUGUAAAGCUCUUUAGCCGAUGAUUAUAAUGACUGUAGUCGGAAAAUAAGCCUCGGCUAACUUCGUGCCAGCAGCCGCGGUAAUACGAAGGGGGCGAGCGUUAUUCGGAAUCACUGGGCGUAAAGCGUGCGUAGGCGGCUUUGCAAGUUGGGAGUGAAAGCCCAGGGCUCAACCCUGGAAUUGCUCUCAAAACUGCAAGGCUCGAAUUCGGGAGAGGAUAGCGGAAUUGUCAGUGUAGCAGUGAAAUGCGUAGAUAUUGACAGGAACACCAGUGGCGUAAGCGGCUAUCUGGACCGAUAUUGACGCUGAGGCACGAAAGCGUGGGGAUCAAACAGGAUUAGAUACCCGAGUAGUCC